AGCAGCCGCGGUAAUUCCAGCUCCAAUAGCGUAUAUUAAAGUUGCUGCAGUUAAAAAGCUCGUAGUUGAAUUUCGGGACUAAUAUGUCGGUCGUGCCUCGGUACGUACUGGUAUUUUUGGUUUCUCCCUUCUGACGAACCUUGAUGUUAUUAAUUUGGUGUCUUGGGAAAUCAGGACUGUUACUUUGAAAAAAUUAGAGUGUUUAAAGCAGGCUCACGCUUGAAUACAUUAGCAUGGAAUAAUGAAAUAGGACGUUUGAUUCUAUUUUGUUGGUUUCUAGGAUCGACGUAAUGAUUAAUAGGGAUAGUUGGGGGCAUUAGUAUUCAAUUGUCAGAGGUGAAAUUCUUGGAUUUAUUGAAGACUAACUACUGCGAAAGCAUUUGCCAAGGAUGUUUUCAUUAAUCAAGAACGAAAGUUAGGGGAUCGAAGACGAUCAGAUACCGUCGUAGUCUUAACCAUAAACUAUGCCGACUAGGGAUCGGAUGAUGUUAAUUUUUUAAUGACUCAUUCGGCGCCUUACG
Molecule: ribosomal RNA, 521 nt
Filed under: uncultured Glomus
Lineage: Eukaryota; Fungi; Glomeromycota; Glomeromycetes; Glomerales; Glomeraceae
Description: SSU rRNA
Rfam family: Eukaryotic small subunit ribosomal RNA
Source: RNAcentral